Molecule: RNA transcript, 485 nt
Organism: Sus scrofa (pig)
Lineage: Eukaryota; Metazoa; Chordata; Mammalia; Artiodactyla; Suidae
Gene name: small ribosomal subunit protein eS19 pseudogene
Source: RefSeq, a predicted model, not a curated record
CCUUUCCUCUGGCUGGCAGCGCUAAAAGGCCGCACGAUGCCUGGAGUUACUGUAAAAGAUGUAAACCAGCAGGAGGUCGUCAGAGCUCUGGCAGCCUUUCUCAGAAAGUCCGGGAAGCUGAAAGUCCCUGAAUGGGUGGACACUGUCAAGCUGGUCAAGCAUAAAGAACUCGCUCCCUACGAUGAGAACUGGUUCUACACACGAGCUGCUUCCACCCCACGGCACCUAUACCUCUGGGGCAUCGCUGGGGUCGGCUCCAUGACCAAGACCUACAGGGGUCAUCAAAGAGACCGUGUCAUGCCCAGCCACUUCAGCAGGGGCUCCAAGAGCGUGGCCCAUCGGCUUCUCCAAGCCCGGGAGGGGUUGAAAAUGGUGGAAAAGGAUCAAGACGGGGGCCGCAAACUGACACCUCAGGGACAGAGAGAUCUGGACAGAAUCGCCGGACAGGUGGCAGCUGCCAAGAAGAAGCAUUAGAACAAAUGAAG